AGUGAACGCUGGCGGUAGGCCUAACACAUGCAAGUCGAACGGCAGCACAGUAAGAGCUUGCUCUUACGGGUGGCGAGUGGCGGACGGGUGAGGAAUACAUCGGAAUCUACUUUUUCGUGGGGGAUAACGUAGGGAAACUUACGCUAAUACCGCAUACGCCCUACGGGUGAAAGCAGGGGAUCUUCGGACCUUGCGCGAUUGAAUGAGCCGAUGUCGGAUUAGCUAGUUGGCGGGGUAAAGGCCCACCAAGGCGACGAUCCGUAGCUGGUCUGAGAGGAUGAUCAGCCACACUGGAACUGAGACACGGUCCAGACUCCUACGGGAGGCAGCAGUGGGGAAUAUUGGACAAUGGGCGCAAGCCUGAUCCAGCCAGACCGCGUGGGUGAAGAAGGCCUUCGGGUUGUAAAGCCCUUUUGUUGGGAAAGAAAGGCAGCAGGUUAAUACCCCGCUGUUCUGACGGUACCCAAAGAAUAAGCACCGGCUAACUUCGUG
This 492-nucleotide ribosomal RNA is filed under the name uncultured bacterium. RNAcentral's name for it is "partial 16S ribosomal RNA". It matches the Rfam family "Bacterial small subunit ribosomal RNA", at positions 29 to 507 of the family's 1533-position model. The record is from RNAcentral.